This 482-nucleotide long non-coding RNA is filed under the name Mytilus galloprovincialis (Mediterranean mussel). The record is from RNAcentral. Lineage: Eukaryota; Metazoa; Mollusca; Bivalvia; Mytilida; Mytilidae.
CGGGAGAUGACCAAAUUAUUCUAAUGCAAUUAUUUUGUAACAAUUGUUCUGAUUGGAUAACAGCAAGCGUAAAAUCUCUUAUCUCCUUGUCUGUAACUAAGGAAGCCGACAUUUUGAAUUUCGGAAUGUAUUGACAUGUUAUUUCUACAAUAAUAAACAAAAAACUCACUUGUUGCGCCUAAAAAUCUUCUUUUUAUCAAAUUUUAUUACAUUCUGAAGCGGCACAGAAGCCAGAAAACGGCCGGUGUUUAUGUUUGACGCCGGAAGCAUACCUAUGACGUCACCUAGUGUAGGGACCAAAGAACAUAACAUCUUUUCGCGGAAUUUUCUUUAAUGAACAUUUUACACUGAAAUAAUGAUUGAAAUUUCAUUAUAAACUUGUUUUGCAUUAGAAUAGAGAUAACUGUAUUGUAUUUGAAGCUUUGCGGACGUCCAUCGGUAGUUUUACUGUCGCAAAUACCCGUUUACCUGUCUCCGCUCCG